UUAAGCGACUAAGCGUACACGGUGGAUGCCCUGGCAGUCAGAGGCGAUGAAGGACGUGCUAAUCUGCGAAAAGCGUCGGUAAGGUGAUAUGAACCGUUAUAACCGGCGAUGUCCGAAUGGGGAAACCCAGUGUGAUUCGUCACACUAUCGUUAACUGAAUACAUAGGUUAACGAGGCGAACCGGGGGAACUGAAACAUCUAAGUACCCCGAGGAAAAGAAAUCAACCGAGAUUCCCCCAGUAGCGGCGAGCGAACGGGGAGCAGCCCAGAGUCUGAAUCAGCUUGUGUGUUAGUGGAACGGUCUGGAAAGUCCGACGGUACAGGGUGAUAGUCCCGUACACCAAAAUGCACAGGUUGUGAACUCGAAGAGUAGGGCGGGACACGUGGUAUCCUGUCUGAAUAUGGGGGGACCAUCCUCCAAGGCUAAAUACUCCUGACUGACCGAUAGUGAACCAGUACCGUGAGGGAAAGGCGAAAAGAACCCCGGCGAGGGGAGUGAAAAAGAACCUGAAACCGUGUACGUACAAGCAGUGGGAGCACCUUCGGGUGUGACUGCGUACCUUUUGUAUAAUGGGUCAGCGACUUAUAUUCUGUAGCAAGGUUAACCGUAUAGGGGAGCCGCAGGGAAACCGAGUCUUAACUGGGCGUUAAGUUGCAGGGUAUAGACCCGAAACCCGGUGAUCUAGCCAUGGGCAGGUUGAAGGUUGGGUAACACUAACUGGAGGACCGAACCGACUAAUGUUGAAAAAUUAGCGGAUGACUUGUGGCUGGGGGUGAAAGGCCAAUCAAACCGGGAGAUAGCUGGUUCUCCCCGAAAGCUAUUUAGGUAGCGCCUCGUGAACUCAUCUUCGGGGGUAGAGCACUGUUUCGGCUAGGGGGUCAUCCCGACUUACCAACCCGAUGCAAACUACGAAUACCGAAGAAUGUUAUCACGGGAGACACACGGCGGGUGCUAACGUCCGUCGUGAAGAGGGAAACAACCCAGACCGCCAGCUAAGGUCCCAAAGUCAUGGUUAAGUGGGAAACGAUGUGGGAAGGCACAGACAGCCAGGAUGUUGGCUUAGAAGCAGCCAUCAUUUAAAGAAAGCGUAAUAGCUCACUGGUCGAGUCGGCCUGCGCGGAAGAUGUAACGGGGCUAAACCAUGCACCGAAGCUGCGGCAGCGACACUAUGUGUUGUUGGGUAGGGGAGCGUUCUGUAAGCCUGCGAAGGUGUGCUGUGAGGCAUGCUGGAGGUAUCAGAAGUGCGAAUGCUGACAUAAGUAACGAUAAAGCGGGUGAAAAGCCCGCUCGCCGGAAGACCAAGGGUUCCUGUCCAACGUUAAUCGGGGCAGGGUGAGUCGACCCCUAAGGCGAGGCCGAAAGGCGUAGUCGAUGGGAAACAGGUUAAUAUUCCUGUACUUGGUGUUACUGCGAAGGGGGGACGGAGAAGGCUAUGUUAGCCGGGCGACGGUUGUCCCGGUUUAAGCAUGUAGGCUGAUUGUCCAGGCAAAUCCGGAUAAUCAAGGCUGAGGUGUGAUGACGAGGCACUACGGUGCUGAAGUAACAAAUGCCCUGCUUCCAGGAAAAGCCUCUAAGCAUCAGGUAACAUCAAAUCGUACCCCAAACCGACACAGGUGGUCAGGUAGAGAAUACCAAGGCGCUUGAGAGAACUCGGGUGAAGGAACUAGGCAAAAUGGUGCCGUAACUUCGGGAGAAGGCACGCUGGUGUGUAGGUGAAGUCCCUGCGGAUGGAGCUGAGACCAGUCGAAGAUACCAGCUGGCUGCAACUGUUUAUUAAAAACACAGCACUGUGCAAACACGAAAGUGGACGUAUACGGUGUGACGCCUGCCCGGUGCCGGAAGGUUAAUUGAUGGGGUUAUCCGUAAGGAGAAGCUCUUGAUCGAAGCCCCGGUAAACGGCGGCCGUAACUAUAACGGUCCUAAGGUAGCGAAAUUCCUUGUCGGGUAAGUUCCGACCUGCACGAAUGGCGUAAUGAUGGCCAGGCUGUCUCCACCCGAGACUCAGUGAAAUUGAACUCGCUGUGAAGAUGCAGUGUACCCGCGGCAAGACGGAAAGACCCCGUGAACCUUUACUAUAGCUUGACACUGAACAUUGAGCCUUGAUGUGUAGGAUAGGUGGGAGGCUUUGAAGCGUGGACGCCAGUCUGCGUGGAGCCAACCUUGAAAUACCACCCUUUAAUGUUUGAUGUUCUAACGUUGGCCCCUUACCGGGGUUGCGGACAGUGUCUGGUGGGUAGUUUGACUGGGGCGGUCUCCUCCCAAAGCGUAACGGAGGAGCACGAAGGUUAGCUAAUCCUGGUCGGACAUCAGGAGGUUAGUGCAAUGGCAUAAGCUAGCUUGACUGCGAGCGUGACGGCGCGAGCAGGUGCGAAAGCAGGUCAUAGUGAUCCGGUGGUUCUGAAUGGAAGGGCCAUCGCUCAACGGAUAAAAGGUACUCCGGGGAUAACAGGCUGAUACCGCCCAAGAGUUCAUAUCGACGGCGGUGUUUGGCACCUCGAUGUCGGCUCAUCACAUCCUGGGGCUGAAGUAGGUCCCAAGGGUAUGGCUGUUCGCCAUUUAAAGUGGUACGCGAGCUGGGUUUAGAACGUCGUGAGACAGUUCGGUCCCUAUCUGCCGUGGGCGCUGGAGAAUUGAGGGGGGCUGCUCCUAGUACGAGAGGACCGGAGUGGACGCAUCACUGGUGUUCGGGUUGUCAUGCCAAUGGCACUGCCCGGUAGCUAAAUGCGGAAGAGAUAAGUGCUGAAAGCAUCUAAGCACGAAACUUGCCCCGAGAUGAGUUCUCCCUGAGACUUUAAGUCUCCUGAAGGAACGUUGAAGACGACGACGUUGAUAGGCCGGGUGUGUAAGCGCAGCGAUGCGUUGAGCUAACCGGUACUAAUGAACCGUGAGGCUUAACCUU
This 2900-nucleotide ribosomal RNA is filed under the name Klebsiella pneumoniae. RNAcentral's name for it is "bacterial LSU rRNA". It matches the Rfam family "Bacterial large subunit ribosomal RNA". Lineage: Bacteria; Pseudomonadati; Pseudomonadota; Gammaproteobacteria; Enterobacterales; Enterobacteriaceae. The record is from RNAcentral. RNAcentral also lists the same sequence under 1 other name.